GGUGGCAUGCCUAACACAUGCAAGUCGAACGAACCUUUCGGGGUUAGUGGCGCACGGGUGCGUAACGCGUGGGAAUCUGCCUUUAGGUACGGAAUAACUGGGGGAAACUCUUGCUAAUACCGUAUGAUGUCUUCGGACCAAAGAUUUAUCGCCUAGAGAUGAGCCCGCGUUGGAUUAGCUAGUUGGUGGGGUAAAGGCCUACCAAGGCGACGAUCCAUAGCUGGUCUGAGAGGAUGAUCAACCACACUGGGACUGAGACACGGCCCAGACUCCUACGGGAGGCAGCAGUGGGGAAUAUUGGACAAUGGGCGCAAGCCUGAUCCAGCAAUGCCGCGUGAGUGAUGAAGGCCUUAGGGUUGUAAAGCUCUUUUACCCGGGAAGAUAAUGACUGUACCGGGAGAAUAAGCCCCGGCUAACUCCGUGCCAGCAGCCGCGGUAAUACGGAGGGGGCUAGCGUUGUUCGGAAUUACUGGGCGUAAAGCGUACGUAGGCGGCUUUGUAAGUUAGAGGUGAAAGCCCGGGGCUCAACCCCGGAAUUGCCUUUAAGACUGCAUCGCUUGAACGUC
RNAcentral lists this ribosomal RNA (566 nucleotides) under uncultured Alphaproteobacteria bacterium. RNAcentral describes it as "bacterial SSU rRNA". It matches the Rfam family "Bacterial small subunit ribosomal RNA", at positions 38 to 650 of the family's 1533-position model. The record is from RNAcentral. Lineage: Bacteria; Pseudomonadati; Pseudomonadota; Alphaproteobacteria.